UACGUAGGGUCCGAGCGUUGUCCGGAAUUAUUGGGCGUAAAGGGCUCGUAGGCGGUCGGCUAUGUCGGAUGUGAAAGCCUCGGGCUUAACCCGAGAAGGGCAUCCGAAACUGGCCGGCUUGAGUACGGAAGAGGGUCUCGGAAUUCCCGGUGUAGAGGUGAAAUUCGUAGAUAUCGGGAGGAACACCAGUGGCGAAGGCGGAGACCUGGGCCGAUACUGACGCUGAGGUGCGAAAGCGUGGGGAGCAAACAGG
RNAcentral lists this ribosomal RNA (253 nucleotides) under uncultured bacterium. Its description in RNAcentral is "partial 16S ribosomal RNA". It matches the Rfam family "Bacterial small subunit ribosomal RNA", at positions 524 to 776 of the family's 1533-position model. The record is from RNAcentral.